This 6727-nucleotide long non-coding RNA is filed under the name Setaria viridis. RNAcentral's name for it is "long non-coding RNA (SVIR_LNC001050)". Lineage: Eukaryota; Viridiplantae; Streptophyta; Magnoliopsida; Poales; Poaceae. The record is from RNAcentral.
UUUUUUUUUUGGUAAAGAUGGCAUCCCCAUUUCCAUUGAUCAGAUGGAAAUUCCAGAGUACAUACAAUGAUGCAACAGAAACAGAUAGAGACCCACACAAUUCAGUUUCAAAAUUUAUGAAUUCAAGUGGAUAAAUGGCAUCCUGACCGUACCUCCAUGAAAUCGGAAGGCACAGUCCAAAGGCGGACCCACCAGCUGAAUAGUGCUGUUGGGUCUGACCAUGGAUCCACCUAAUAGUGCAUCCCUUAAUUGCAUAAAUACGACUACUUAUACCGAUAAAAGCAUAGUGAGGCUAAUUUUGGUACUUCUAUAAUCUAUAUCUAUAGGUAAGUACGUAACCAUACUAGCAUAAAAGGCAUGAAUCAAGCCAAUCCAGGGUUUAUUGUAUACCCUGUAAGCAUCAACAAUUGUGACCACUCUCCUAGAUACCCCUAUUUUAGAUUAAAAGCAUCUAAAGAUUAUGUGCUGCACUGAAACAUGGUCAACACUAUAGAUUCUUCAAAGUAAAAGGCAUAUUGACUAGAAAAUGUGGGUCAGAUUUUGAUGCUGCAGUUCAGACUUGGACAACACACACACAAACACAUAUGGCAUAGCAUAAAUAAAAAUAAUUGAUAUUACUCAUGCAUAUAUCAUCCGAUAUAGAUUAGAAACAUCUGCAGAUUAAUAAAUGUAUUGAAAUAUAGUAGACGAACUACUAAAAAGUAAAGGAUCAUUUUGACUUAUCAUGAUGAUGUUUUGUAAUUGUUCGUGAAAGUAUGCACGGCUCCAACAAUAAGGCAAAUAAAUGAAGAGCGCCAGCUGCUCUAAAAGAGAAAUCUCAAGGCAAUAAGAACACCCUUUUUUUCCUUGGUACCAGUAAUUGAACCCCAUGUAGGAACAUAUAUAUAACAUAGUGAGCGAGUUGCUAAAUUUUCAUCAAUUGCUUAGAUGCAAAAGGGUAAAUAAUGGGGAAAAUUAAUUUCUAAGCUCAAGGUCAUCUUCUAGGACCAAAAAUUCACCGACAAUGCUAACAGGCAGAAGGACAUAGCAUCCAAUCAAACUAUGAUCAUAUGAAAAAACACUAGUCAUACAGAAUGCAGAUUUCUCUCAGAACUUUCACGCAAUAACCAUUCCAGUCAGUAUAUUAUUUAUUGCUGGCACUGGCAUAAAAUAUGCACAAUCCAUUCUGUACCAUUCAUAUUGGUGGCAUAAACUACCACGCUAACUCGCUCUAACGUAUAACAACAAUAAGUAUACUGAUAAACUCAGCUAACUUCUAUACAAAUUGGAACUUAUGCAAGAACAGACUAAACGUGGGGCGGAUGAGUCGACACUCCAGAUUUUUGUAAAAUAAACUGCACAUGAUCGUGCCCACGAAGAAUAGCAGCCUAAUCGAACUAUGGAUGGACUAGAAUAGCGCACCAGGUAGCAAGCAAAUCCUCCACUAGCUGAGUGUACAGGACGUAAGAUUCCGAUUUGAUUGCUCACAGUCGCAGCAGUCAAAACGGCCCCCGAAACAGCACGAAGUCGAAGAACAAUCUACCCAAGCAAAGCAACCAAGCAAGCCAGGGUCACGUACCAGCAAAAACGAAGAAACCAGUCCAGGCCCGGAUGGAUCUCCAGUCCACCCCAGUCAGGUAGCACUAGAGCGGGCAACAGAGGUGGAGGUGGUUGCCACCUCCCGCCCAAGCAGCGAAGCUGGCGGCGGAAGGAGACCUGGCCCGCCGCACCCGGUCGCCUGCAGGCACCGAGGCUCGCCGGCGCCGAGGCACGGCAAAUCGCGACGGAGAGAAAAAACACACCGACGGCGGACGAAUUCGGGGAGGAAUCGGGCAAGCAGGGCGGGCGCGCGAGCGGAGCGGAGGAGGAAUCUGGGGAGGGAUCGGGGGGAGGACCGCGCGAGAGGGGAAUGCAGGACGCGGGGGGCGGGGGAAAAAGGGGGGGAAGGGAAGGAAAGGAGACGACGACGGGAGAGGAGGAGCCGGGGGAGGAGGGAGGGGGGCAGUUUUUGUUCGCCCUGUCUGCUGCUGCCUGCUGCUGCUUGCGCGAUGCGCAGUGCGAGUGGGAUGGGGUGGGGGGGAGUGUGCUGCGUGCGCCGCGCCGCGCUGUGCUGGGACGGGACGGGGGGAGUGAGAGGGGGAGGGAGGCGAGGGGGGAUGGUUGGUGGUGGUGGCGGCGAGAAUCUCGUGCGGCUCGGGAUCCCUGUGGGCUGUCCCUGCCGUGGGUGGGGUCCGGCGUGCCUGCUCUUUGUGCCAACCGCCGAGGUUUAACUACGGUGUUGCUGUGCAUGUGCUGCGAGUGUUUAAGCUUGUGAGAAGGCUAUGAUUAGCGGCGGAUCAGACGCGAUGGCUUGCCGGGCCUGCCGGCGGCAAAAAAAAAGGGGGGGGGCUUUUUCGGUGUGUUUUUAGUAUAUAUUCCCAUGUGUUUUUAAGCAUAAUAUAUGUUCCUGAUGAUUAUGUACUUGUGUGCAAAACAUUGUUUUCGAAGUAACGAAAAUGUGAGUGGUACAGCAAAUGAGAAAUUUGAAUGUGCUCUUGUGAUUUGACGUUAACUGGCACGAAGGAAGCAAUUUAGCUUUAGGUUACUCUCAAUAAUAAUGUGUGCUGGUAGUUGCUACUAGAGUUGUAAGUAAAAUCAAUACCAAUAGUAGCUGCAUCAGAUAAUGCAUAUGAUCUGUAUUUCUUUCUCGUAUUGUCUCCGAGGUGAUUGUGCAUUUGUGCUGUCCCAUUUUAGAAGUUCCAUUAUUAAAUAAAAGGCAUAGAUCAAUACUAAUUGGAGUUUAUUCGGUGCAACGGUGCGGUGGAGACACAAGGCACAUUGCUUUGUUUUUCCUAUACUUUUCAGAAUCCCCCUCCCAGUAUGGAAGCACAGCUUCAAAGAUCCAACAAGCAGUGGCGAGGCAGUUCUCAAACCCCAUGGGCCAUGGGACACAUGUACACUGGUCCGUUUAGAAUUUUCAGCAAAUAGCUUAGCUGUGUUUUCUUUUUUGUUUGUUUAUUGCAAAACCUUCCAAGAAAUAUAUUAGCCUUGUGAAGUCACCACUAUACUCCACCGGUGUUUGCUUUUCUCACGAGGCCUUGUCCCUCCCACCUAUGUACACGUUUUUCUUGUAUGUCUCUAUAUUUCCUUCUUUUAAUAUACUCCCUCCGUCCCAAAUUGUAAGUCAUUCUAAGAAUCUUGGAGAGUCAAAGCAUCUCAAGUUUGAUCAAAAUUAUAGAGAAAAAUAUAAAAAUUUAUGACAUCAAAUAGAUAUACUAUGAAAAUAUAAUUGAUAAAGAAUCUAAUGAUAUUUAGUUGACAUCAUAAAUGUUAUUAUAUUAUCAUAUAAAUUUGGUCAACCCUGAGAUACUUUGACUCUCUAAGAUUCUUGAAAUGACUUACAAUUUGGAACGGAGGGAGUAACAUGUAGCUCUUCUAGUGCUUCGCUACAAAAACUAUCUUCAUGUAAGAGCCAAAGACUUUGCUUGAAAAAGGUAAUAAAAUUUAAGCACUCUUGGACAAUAUUGACAUAUUGUAGCCUCUGGCUUGUAUGGAAUCUUGUAGUAAAUCUAUGAAUUAGGGGUGGGGAUGGGGGCAUCUCGUAUUCUCGUGGAUGAUUUGGAAUCUUGGACAAUUUGGAAGGAAUUAGAGGUCAGGACUCCCUAUUUUAAUUCCACAGGCGUUUGACAAGAGAGUUUCUACCUGUGGAAGUUGGCAUCUGAUAUCUUGGAGGAGGGCAGAAUAUGGGCUUUUCCUGCUACGGCCUACGGCUUCCUGCUCGGGCAAGCGUUGCUGUAUAAUCUUUUUGUUUUGGUGCCCACCCGGUGCUGCGGGGAAUGGGAUGCUCUAGCUGUAAAACUCAUGAUUUUCACUAAACGAAACAUGUGUACAGGCACAUUCUUUGAAAAAAAAAUUGAGCAUGUAAGCUCAAUUGCUCGAUCAUAGCUCCUUUAGAACCGGGGGAGAGGGGACAUGCAAACUCCUGUGUCUUCUUUUAUUGUAAAGGAUGAGGAAACAAAAAUAUCAAUAAGCUAUGUACAUCAACAACUCAUAGAUUUAAAAGAACAUACUAGGUCUAAGUGAAAGCCAAGGCAUGUAGUAUGUGAGCCUGGCAGUAAUCAAAGGCAAACAUACAGCUUUUCAUAAAAGUCAAUUUCAACUCAACAGAAUGGAAGUCUGCAUACCCCAUCAGUUAGGACAUUGUGCACUUUGCUGGUUUUCCUUUCUCGUAUCUGGAUCUUAGCUCUUUGCCCUGCCAGUGGAUAUGGCAUAGGCAACAUUUAGCUGCCAAGUAAUUUCACAAAGUAUCACACUGGUGGAGAGCGGUCCGCAAAUUUGAGGGUACGCCGAUGCAGGCGAUCUGCUCCCUACUCUUGGGAGAUUUUGAAGGAACGCAAUGCACGAAUUUUUCAGCGAACUUAUUCCCUCUCACUGCGAAGAUCAAGGAAGAGGCGUUUGCCUGGUGCUUGGCUGGUGCAAAACGGCUUAGAGAUGUUGUCCCUUUAGGGUAGAGCUCGGGUUGAAUGUUUUUCCAUUUCCCUUUUCUUUUAAAGCUUGUAAAGUUUUGAUCCUCUUCUUUAUCAAUACAUGACGAGCAGUACAUUACUGUCGGCCGCUUCAAAAAAAAAACAUUUAUCUGCCAAGUUGUUGCUAAUGCUAUUGGCCUGAUGUAGGAAGAGGGGAAUGUGAGGAGGAAAAUGACAGCGAAAUUACCAUUAGCAAGACAUUAUUAGUUAGAUCCUUACCUUUAAGGCGUAGGGGUGGAAUUGAUCAAAACCACCUAAAAGAAUAAUCAGUUCCGCCUUUUUGAAAAGGAGGUCCGUUACUAUUGUGUGACAUGCAUACUCUUUUUAAGCCAUCUUCGUGUCCGCAAUGGAGAUGACCUCAUCUACUCCCUUCAUUCCAAAUUAUAAGUCAUUCUAACUUUUUUGGAAGGUCAAACUAUUUUAUGUUUAGCUAAAAUUAUAAAGUGUAUCACAAAAGUUUAUGACACCGAAUAGAUAUACUAUGAAAAUAUAUUUAAUAAAGAAACUAAUGGUAAUAUCAUAAAUGUUAAUAUUUUAUUGUAUAAAUUUGGUCAAACUUGAGAUACUUUGACUCUAAAAAAAUUAUAAUGACUUAUAAUUUGAAACGGAAGGUGUAAGUUGGCAAUACCAGUUGCAUUUAGGCCGAUUAAAACUACUCGUUGGUAAAGCAAAACGACCCAAAAAAAACAAAUGGUUGUUUGGCCUUACCUGUGUUAAAAUCAUCUGUGACGGAAUAGGCCUCAUGCCGUGUUGCGCUAGCAAGUUGCAGCAAAUAAAGUCGGCAUCUUGCACCGGCCAAUGCCCUCGUGUCCCCUGCGCUCGCAUUGCACGAGAGAACAAAGAGUUUUUGUAGCGGCAGUUCUCCUUCCCGCUCCGAUGGACCUCCUCGUAGAUAACCUUCAACUAGACGUGUCCGGAUCUUUAGUCCGGAUUAAAAUUCAUGUUACAUCGAAUAUUUGGAUGCUAAUUAGGAGGACUAAAUAUGAGCUAAUUAUAAAACUAAUUACACAGAUGGAAUCUAAUUCGCGAGAUGAAUCUAUUAAACCUAAUUAAUCCAUCAUUAGCACAUGUUUACUGUAGCAUCACAUUAUCAAAUUAUGAACUAAUUAGGCUUAAUAGAUUCAUCUCGCAAAUUAACCUCCAUCUGUGCAAUUGAUUUUAUAAUUAGUAUACGUUUAAUACUCCCAAUUAGUAUUUAAAACAAACUCCCUCUCUGAGAGCACACGGCAUGCAUGUUGACCAUUGCCGUAUCGAGUGGUUAUUACAUUCAGUCUCUGAAUGAAAUUUCUGCAACCCUGACAGAAACCAGACAGACGUUGUUUUGGUCGGCCAGCUGCACACCCUCACUGACAAGCAAGAUUGAUGCAUGCUGCAGUAGAUCGUACAGUUGCAGCAACCAUAACCAACCGUUGAACCAGAACAAAGAUGACUUGAUCGAAUGCAGCGCUAAGCAACCACAUCUGAACAACCCAACGGUCUGGACUUCGUUUUCUCAAAUCCUUCUGAUCCGGACGUGACCGUCGCUGUCGCGUGCCACACGAUCCAUAAUACUAAUGCGUAGUAUUUGAAUGGAAACAUCGUUGUCGUCACAAGAAGAGUGUAUGCAUAACGAACCCGCAGCUGCAGGCCGGAAUCAGAAAUUCAGAAUGAGCUUGUGGCACGGUCAGUCGGUCAGCGACAUCGGCGUCGUCGCCUUUAUGCGCCUGCAAUUCCCAGUAGCUCUUCACCUGCAUCUGCAGGCUGCGUGCGUGCCUAGGUCUUCACCGGAACGGACGGCGCCAACAAAUGCCAUCAAUUCGAGACACCGAUGUGUGCCACUCCCUCACGAGCGAGCGAGAAAAAACGCCAUCGAAUGAUCGGUACAUGCAGAACGGAGGUUCCUACGAUUUCUAUUGCUUUGUAGCAAUGGAAAGCAACACGAUGUCCGUGCCAUGCAUCGGCCACUGAUGAGACAUGAAGAUUGCAGCCCAUGAAAAUGAUGGUCCCAAACAAGCAAACAAAGUUCAGUACACGUUUACUUUACAUGUUUGUUGCUUGUUGGUAAAUUUGACAACUCUCUAGGAAUAGAUUGGGGAAAAAACAUGAAAAAGAUUCAAAAAAUAGUAGUAGUAGAACAGCUGGCCGGUCACCAACACGAACUGCCUCCAACAAAUAAUCUGCAGCACUCGAUCCUGAAUUAUUACUCUAUUUUUUUUACCCUCCCCUUUUCUUUCACCCCUUUGUAGUAGACGUAGUACAUGCCC